CACGGACAGAACCUUCUCUGUAUUUGUAUGGCGUCGCAUGAGUACAAGUACAACCAACAUCCAUUCAACAUACAACAUUCAUUUCAUUUCAUAGAAAACCUUUUAAAAAAUCGUUUUCCACUCGGAAACCUUUUUCUUUAAAAACAAGCUACCACGAGGGGUAGAAAACUAUUUUCUCAACUCACAAAUAAUUAUAAAAGCCACAAUGUUUAAUUUUAUAAAUCCAUAAACAUUCAACCGAAAUAAAACCACUGAACCAUAAUGUCUAAAUCAUUUGUUCUAAGGAGAUAGGGUAAGAAACUAAAUCAAUAUCACCG
This 317-nucleotide long non-coding RNA is filed under the name Ananas comosus (pineapple). RNAcentral's name for it is "long non-coding RNA (ACOM_LNC031342)". Lineage: Eukaryota; Viridiplantae; Streptophyta; Magnoliopsida; Poales; Bromeliaceae. The record is from RNAcentral.